AUUGAACGCUGGCGGCAGGCCUAACACAUGCAAGUCGAGCGGCAGCGGGAAAGUAGCUUGCUACUUUUGCCGGCGAGCGGCGGACGGGUGAGUAAUGCCUGGGAAAUUGCCCAGUCGAGGGGGAUAACAGUUGGAAACGACUGCUAAUACCGCAUACGCCCUACGGGGGAAAGCAGGGGACCUCCGGGCCUUGCGCGAUUGGAUAUGCCCGGGUGGGAUUAGCUAGUUGGUGAGGUAAUGGCUCACCAAGGCGACGAUCCCUAGCUGGUCUGAGAGGAUGAUCAGCCACACUGGAACUGAGACACGGUCCAGACUCCUACGGGAGGCAGCAGUGGGGAAUAUUGCACAAUGGGGGAAACCCUGAUGCAGCCAUGCCGCGUGUGUGAAGAAGGCCUUCGGGUUGUAAAGCACUUUCAGCGAGGAGGAAAGGUUGAUGCCUAAUACGUAUCAACUGUGACGUUACUCGCAGAAGAAGCACCGGCUAACUCCGUGCCAGCCGCCGCCGUAA
Molecule: ribosomal RNA, 508 nt
Filed under: uncultured bacterium
Lineage: Bacteria
Description: partial 16S ribosomal RNA
Rfam family: Bacterial small subunit ribosomal RNA
Source: RNAcentral